GUCGGCUCCGUGCCCUCUCUUUGCGGAGAGAUGCUAUAUAAUAAGAGGAAACAUUGUCGUCCCAAAGUUAAAUGCAAUAGAAGACAUUAGAAAAUAAUUCUCCAGCCUUUAAAAAAAAAUACAUACAAUUCUCCAGAAAAAAACGAAGACAGUAGAAGGCGAAGAGGCAAGAGGGAAGGAUUCUUAGCGCGGUUCCGUUCUAGGGUUUUGGAACACAGAAACUAGAAGGAGAAGAAGAAGAAACAGACGGAGAGAGAGAGAGAGAGAGAGAGAGAGAGAGAGAGAAUCGGACUUUACUGUGAGUUUCCCACCAAGCUACUGAAUCCCAAUUUCUCCAUUUUGAUUCCUCAAUCCGUUGGUUUUGGAGGUUGUUUAAUUACUCUACUGGGAAAUUAGCCUGCUAUAUAUAAGAGCAUGGUAGAAGUUGAACCUGAAAAAGUUGAAGAUGCCGAAUUUGAAUGGGGAAAGAAGAAAGGAAUUGGUGGGAAGAAGAAAAGAGUUCAGUUUUAUGAAUCUUUUACCUACGAUGGUGUGGAGUACGUUCUUUUUGAUUCUGUCUAUCUUUAUAAAGAAGGUGAACCUGAGCCUUAUAUUGGUAAACUCUUAAAAAUAUGGGAGCAUCCCGAUAAGAUGAGGAAAGUGAAGGUUCUAUGGUUUUUCCGCCCUUGUGAGAUUUUAAAUUUUCUCGGAGAUGAAGAACCAUCUGACAAUGAGUUAUUUUUGGCUUCCGGUGAAGGUGUGGGCCUUUGCAACGUCAAUCCUCUGGAAGCUAUUGCUGGGAAAUGUAAUGUUGUCUGCAUUUCAAAAGACAACAGGAAUCGUCAACCUACAGAUAAAGAACUUCAAACGGCAGACUAUGUAUUUCGCCGGACAUUUGAUGUUGGGAACAGGAAAAUCUUGGACGAAAUAGAAGAGACAAUUGCUGGGACUGAUGUUAAAUCUCUACUCAACAGAGAGGAUUUUGAAAAAAGUGCUGGUACUCUGAAGGUUGAUUCAGGAGGGAAAGAAGUUGGUGGAACUGCUGCACAAACUGAUGAUACAGUGGUUUCAUCUGAGACAAACUCAUCCAAAAAAUGUCCAGUUGUAGACACAAAUGGACACUGCAGUGUUACUUUACCAAAUGAAGCAGUUGAAACGAACGUUUUGUUUACUAAACACGAAUCUUCGACUGCAGAAAAGACUGCUUCGGGUGUAAGUGUUGAAUCAGAUGAUGUAGCAAAAACUAAUCAGACAAAAGAAAAUGUGAGAGAUCACAAAGCCUUAUCGGGGUCUAAAGUGGAACCUAAGCACAGUGAGGCCAAAGUUGGUAAAGUUCUUGCCGGGCAGGUUGAGAGUGAAAGAAAAGUUGAAUGUGCUAAGGAUUCCGUUGAAUUGGAUGAUAGACCAUCUAAGAAGGCAAAGCUUAGUUCUGAAUAUGUUGAGAAGAGCAAAAAUAGCAUGCAGCAGUCAAGAUUUAAAUAUGAUGCCAAUGAUGGGGAGACUUUAGCAUUAACUGCUUCUGCUCUUAAACCCUCUAAGGAUUCUACAGAGAAAGGCCCUUCCAAAAAGCUGAAGCCUGAGGAAAAAACAACAAUGCUUAGUUCUGAGUAUGUCGAGAAGAGCAAAAAUAACACGCAGGAUGGGGAGACUUUAGCAUUAACUGCUUCUUCUCUUAAACCAUCUAAGGAUUUUAUAGAGAAAGGACUUUCCAAAAAGCUGAAGCCUGAGGAAAAAACAACAAUGCUUAGUCCUGAGUAUGUCGAGAAGAGCAAAAAUAGCAUGCAGCAGCCAAGAUUUAAAUCUGCUGCCAAUGAUGGGGAGACUUCAUUAACUGUUUCUGCUCUUAAACCCUCUAAGGAUUCUACGGAGAAAGGCCCUUCCAAAAAGCUGAAGCCUGAGGAAAAAACAACAAUGCUUUCUAAUGGAAAAUUGAUUAAAGAACCUUCCCAAAAGUCUCAUAAUGAGGAUCAUAAAACUGACGGACAGAAGUUAGAAGAAAGAAGGAAAUGGUUUCCGGGACUUCCUUGGGAAGAUAGUAUGCGAACUGCAUAUGAGCAAAGCAGACUUGUUUUGCUUCAGAAUUUGGAUCCAUCUUAUACUUCAGCAGAAGUGGAGGAUAUUGUAUGGCAUGGUUUCGGGGAAAGAUGCACAGUGAAGAUGAUUCAACGGAUUGUGUUUUCUAGCCCUCAUUCUGGUCAAGCUUUUGUUAUUUUCAGUAAAAGGGAGGUAGCAGAGAUGGUUGUUAGAAAAUUAGACGAGAGCUGUUUGCUAUUAUCAGAUGGGAGGUGCAGGCCUCUUGUAGGCAGUUUAGGAACUCCUUGCUUCCCGGAAAAGAAGCCAAAAUUUUUUGGCCAUUUUGGCAUUGAUAAGCGCCGAUACCAAAUGCAGCGGGAGGAGAAAGAUGCUGUAUCUACUUCGCAUUGUUCUCAGCCCAAUACACUUGAAUUUGAAAUGGCACUGGAAUGGUGCUUAUUACAAGAAAAAUCAGAGCUUUCGUGGAAGAAGUUGUACCAGAAACAGGGACAGGAGUUAAAACAACUAAAGGUAAAACUCAAGGCCAGAUGGCGCUAAUGUUGUAAACUUGUUCUUCUUGGUUUCCCGUUUUGCUAUUGGAUUGGAAAUCAUGAGAAGGCAUCCCUCUCCUAGAGCUUUUUUGUCCAGAAGUCGGUCAAAUUUUGAGGAUUCCCACCGUCUCAUCAGAUAUCAAAAUCCAUUAUGGGUACAUUUGGGCGGGCUCAGGCAGCUAAGACCAGGCCCGCGGCCUGUUCGAGGGUCUUCUCGGGCUCGGGGCGAACGGCCCAAAUUUUUCAGGCAAGCGGGUUUGGGUGUCGGGUACAAAUUCAAUUUUUUCAGACAGUCACAGACGGCCCGUAUAAAGUUUCAACACUAAAUACGGUUAAACAAACAUACUCAUAGGAUACUUUCACUAUAAGGACAGAAAGCAUGUAAAAUGCACUCGGGUCCCUCAUGAGGCGUGUUUUUCGGUUGAGGCAUAUGUUUCCUCUCGAGUCAUGUUUUGGUGCAACAACUUAAUACAAAAUCCAUGCUUCAUAGUGGGUUAAUGGUAAGUUAUUUUUUGUAUCAUGUUAUUGUGAUGUUGUAAUUUUUACCGGUCAACAAAUGGUUGGAAUCUUUUAUGGUUGUAAAUCAGAACGAAGAAAAGGUUUC
Molecule: RNA transcript, 3147 nt
Organism: Morus notabilis
Lineage: Eukaryota; Viridiplantae; Streptophyta; Magnoliopsida; Rosales; Moraceae
Gene name: protein ANTI-SILENCING 1
Exons: 14
Source: RefSeq, a predicted model, not a curated record